RNAcentral lists this transfer RNA (74 nucleotides) under hydrothermal vent metagenome. RNAcentral's name for it is "tRNA-Pro-GGG". It matches the Rfam family "tRNA". Rfam says of the family: Transfer RNA (tRNA) molecules are approximately 80 nucleotides in length. Their secondary structure includes four short double-helical elements and three loops (D, anti-codon, and T loops). The record is from RNAcentral.
CGGGCUGUAGCAUAAUGGUAGUGUGCACGCAUGGGGUGCGUGUGGCCCGGGUUCGAUUCCCGGCAGCCCGACUA